Molecule: ribosomal RNA, 463 nt
Filed under: uncultured bacterium
Lineage: Bacteria
Description: partial 16S ribosomal RNA
Rfam family: Bacterial small subunit ribosomal RNA
Source: RNAcentral
GAUGAACGCUGACAGAAUGCUUAACACAUGCAAGUCUUUGGCGAAGCUGUGCUUGCACAGCCUAGCCAAGGCGGACGGGUGAGUAACGCGUAAGGAACUUGCCCUGCAGUCAGGGAUAACAGACGGAAACGACUGAUAAGACCUGGUAAAGUCAGGCGGACUCAUGUCCAGCCUGAUGAAAAGAGAUGCUGCAGGAGAGCCUUGCGUCCUAUUAGCUUGUUGGUGGGGUAACGGCCCACCAAGGCGAUGAUAGGUAGCCGGCCUGAGAGGGUGGACGGCCACAAGGGGACUGAGAUACGGCCCUUACUCCUACGGGAGGCAGCAGUGGGGAAUAUUGGACAAUGGGGGCAACCCUGAUCCAGCAAUUCUGUGUGCACGAUGAAGGUUUUCGGAUUGUAAAGUGCUUUCAGCAGGGAAGAAAAAAAUGACGGUACCUGCAGAAGAAGCGACGGCCAAAUACGUG